RNAcentral lists this ribosomal RNA (282 nucleotides) under uncultured Lachnospiraceae bacterium. RNAcentral's name for it is "partial 16S ribosomal RNA". It matches the Rfam family "Bacterial small subunit ribosomal RNA", at positions 63 to 339 of the family's 1533-position model. Lineage: Bacteria; Bacillati; Bacillota; Clostridia; Lachnospirales; Lachnospiraceae. The record is from RNAcentral.
UUUGCUUAGAUUCUUCGGAUGAAGAGGAUUGUGACUGAGCGGCGGACGGGUGAGUAACGCGUGGGUAACCUGCCUCAUACAGGGGGAUAACAGUUGGAAACGGCUGCUAAUACCGCAUAAGCGCACAGUACCGCAUGGUACGGUGUGAAAAACUCCGGUGGUACAGGAUGGGCCCGCGUCUGAUUAGUUAGUUGGCGGGGUAACGGCCCACCAAGACAGCGAUCAGUAGCCGACCUGAGAGGGUGACCGGCCACAUUAGGACUGAGACACGGCCCAAACUCC